Molecule: ribosomal RNA, 253 nt
Filed under: uncultured bacterium
Lineage: Bacteria
Description: partial 16S ribosomal RNA
Rfam family: Bacterial small subunit ribosomal RNA
Source: RNAcentral
UACAGAGGUGGCAAGCGUUGUUCAGAAUUACUGGGCGUAAAGGGCGCGUAGGCGGCCUUCUAAGUCAGACGUGAAAUCCCCCGGCUUAACCUGGGAACUGCGUCUGAUACUGGGAGGCUUGAGUAUGGGAGAGGGAUGUAGAAUUCCAGGUGUAGCGGUGAAAUGCGUAGAGAUGUGGAGGAACACCGAUGGCGAAGGCAGCCCCCUGGGUCAACACUGACGCUCAUGCACGAAAGCGUGGGGAGCAAACAGG